Molecule: ribosomal RNA, 488 nt
Filed under: uncultured bacterium
Lineage: Bacteria
Description: bacterial SSU rRNA
Rfam family: Bacterial small subunit ribosomal RNA
Source: RNAcentral
AUUGAACGCUGGCGGCAUGCCUAACACAUGCAAGUCGAACGGGGCAGCAAUGCCCUAGUGGCGGACGGGUGAGGAAUACGUAGGAACCGGCCCACGAGUGGGGGACAACCUGGGGAAACCCAGGCUAAUACCGCAUACGCUCGCGAGAGGAAAGCGGGGGACCUUCGGGCCUCGCGCUGGUGGACGGGCCUACGUCCGAUUAGCUUGUUGGUGGGGUAAAAGCCUACCAAGGCGACGAUCGGUAGCUGGUCUGAGAGGAUGAUCAGCCACACUGGGACUGAGACACGGCCCAGACUCCUACGGGAGGCAGCAGUGGGGAAUAUUGGACAAUGGGCGCAAGCCUGAUCCAGCAAUGCCGCGUGGGUGAAGAAGGCCUGCGGUUGUAAAGCCCUUAAGCGGGGAGGAAAGCCGGGGGGUGGAAUAGCGCCUCGGGGUGACGUUACCGCAGAAUAAGCACCGGCUAACUCCGUGCCAGCAGCCGCGGUAAU